RNAcentral lists this ribosomal RNA (570 nucleotides) under Physarum didermoides. Its description in RNAcentral is "SSU rRNA". It matches the Rfam family "Eukaryotic small subunit ribosomal RNA", at positions 28 to 521 of the family's 1831-position model. Lineage: Eukaryota; Evosea; Eumycetozoa; Physariida; Physaraceae. The record is from RNAcentral.
AUGCUUCUCCUAAAGACUAAGCCAUGCAUGUCUUCGAAUAGAAGAGCUUUCUCUCUGAAUCUGCGAACGGCUCCGCAAACCAGUUGUAAACUAUAGCAAGCAAGCACCCCGGGCUCGCUCACGCGGGUCGCAGGGGGGCUAAUAGGGAUAACCCUGGUAAUUCUGAGGCUAAUACAAGAACGUAAGACCUGACCGACUGGGAAACUGGGAGGUUGGGAGUCGCGUGAGGCAUCAUGCAAACUUACAACGGGAAUGGGUGCGCGACUCGACCACCAUACCAAACGGUUCUCGCAAACGGGUAGCUUUCCUUCGGGGGGGUUGCUGCAGUAGGCUUGAUCCGGGUGGCUCUUGCUGUGUGCUUCUGACCUAUCAACUAGAUGGCAGCGUAACGGACAUGCUAUGGUAACAACGGGUACAGAGGAUAAGGGUUCGAUCCUGGAGAGUGGGCCUGAGAGAUUGCUCACACUUCUAAGGAAGGCAGCAGGCGCGUAACGUUCCCAUUGGGCAAAGCCCGAGGGCGUUAGGGGACAUAUGAAUGCUUGCCAUAUGGUAGGCAAUUCAAAUGGGUUC